This 300-nucleotide ribosomal RNA is filed under the name uncultured Bradyrhizobium sp. RNAcentral describes it as "bacterial SSU rRNA". It matches the Rfam family "Bacterial small subunit ribosomal RNA", at positions 496 to 795 of the family's 1533-position model. Lineage: Bacteria; Pseudomonadati; Pseudomonadota; Alphaproteobacteria; Hyphomicrobiales; Nitrobacteraceae. The record is from RNAcentral.
GCUAAGCCCGGGACUGCUGCCGCGGUCGUGAGGAGGUUCGGAGGGUUGUACGGAUUUAGUGGGUUUAGAGGGAGCGUAGAGGGAUGUUUAAGUCAGUUGUGAAAGUUUGCGGCUUAACCGUAAAAGUGCAGUUGUUACUGUAUAUCUUGAGUGCAGUUGAGGCAGGCGGAAUUCGUGGUGUAGCGGUGAAAUGCUUAGAUAUCACGAAGAACUCCGAUUGCGAAGGCAGCCUGCUAAGCUGCAACUGACAUUGAGGCUCGAAAGUGUGGGUAUCAAACAGGAUUAGAUACCCCAGUAGUC